This 71-nucleotide transfer RNA is filed under the name Nageia nagi. RNAcentral describes it as "tRNA-Cys". It matches the Rfam family "tRNA". Rfam says of the family: Transfer RNA (tRNA) molecules are approximately 80 nucleotides in length. Their secondary structure includes four short double-helical elements and three loops (D, anti-codon, and T loops). Further hydrogen bonds mediate the characteristic L-shaped molecular structure. tRNAs have two regions of fundamental functional importance: the anti-codon, which is responsible for specific mRNA codon recognition, and the 3' end, to which the tRNAs corresponding amino acid is attached (by aminoacyl-tRNA synthetases). tRNAs cope with the degeneracy of the genetic code in two manners: having more than one tRNA (with a specific anti-codon) for a particular amino acid; and 'wobble' base-pairing, i.e. permitting non-standard base-pairing at the 3rd anti-codon position. RNAcentral also lists the same sequence under 2 other names. Lineage: Eukaryota; Viridiplantae; Streptophyta; Pinopsida; Araucariales; Podocarpaceae. The record is from RNAcentral.
GGUGACAUGGCCAAGUGGUAAGGCAGGAGACUGCAAAUCUCCCAUCCCCAGUUCGAAUCUGGGUGUCGCCU